RNAcentral lists this ribosomal RNA (490 nucleotides) under uncultured bacterium. Its description in RNAcentral is "partial 16S ribosomal RNA". It matches the Rfam family "Bacterial small subunit ribosomal RNA", at positions 30 to 507 of the family's 1533-position model. The record is from RNAcentral.
AUUGAACGCUGGCGGCAGGCCUAACACAUGCAAGUCGAACGGUAACAGGAAGCAGCUUGUUGCUUCGCUGACGAGUGGCGGACGGGUGAGUAAUGUCUGGGAAGCUGCCUGAUGGAGGGGGAUAACUACUGGAAACGGUAGCUAAUACCGCAUAAUGUCGCAAGACCAAAGAGGGGGACCUUCGGGCCUCUUGCCAUCGGAUGUGCCCAGAUGGGAUUAGCUUGUUGGUGGGGUAACGGCUCACCAAGGCGACGAUCCCUAGCUGGUCUGAGAGGAUGACCAGCCACACUGGAACUGAGACACGGUCCAGACUCCUACGGGAGGCAGCAGUGGGGAAUAUUGCACAAUGGGCGCAAGCCUGAUGCAGCCAUGCCGCGUGUAUGAAGAAGGCCUUCGGGUUGUAAAGUACUUUCAGCGGGGAGGAAGGGAGUAAAGUUAAUACCUUUGCUCAUUGACGUUACCCGCAGAAGAAGCACCGGCUAACUCCGUG